GGUUAAGUGAAUAAGGGCACACGGUGGAUGCCUUGGCACUAGGAGCCGAUGAAGGACGGGACUAACACCGAUAUGCUUUGGGGAGCUGUACGUAAG
RNAcentral lists this ribosomal RNA (96 nucleotides) under Enterococcus faecium. RNAcentral describes it as "partial 23S ribosomal RNA". It matches the Rfam family "Bacterial large subunit ribosomal RNA", at positions 1 to 96 of the family's 2925-position model. The record is from RNAcentral. Lineage: Bacteria; Bacillati; Bacillota; Bacilli; Lactobacillales; Enterococcaceae.